Molecule: ribosomal RNA, 335 nt
Filed under: bacterium BAC185P
Lineage: Bacteria
Description: bacterial SSU rRNA
Rfam family: Bacterial small subunit ribosomal RNA
Source: RNAcentral
UCGGAGGAAGUGGGGACGACGUCAAAUCAUCAUGCCCCUUAUGUCUUGUGACUCACGCAUGCAACAAUGACCGGUACAAAGGGUUGCGAUACUGUGAGGUGUAGCUAAUCCCAAAAAGCGGUCUCAGUUCGGAUUGGGGUCUGCAACUCGACGCCAUGCAGUCGGAGUCGCUAGUAAUCGCAGAUCAGCAACGCUGCGGUGAAAUACGUCCCGGGCCCUGUACACACCGCCCGUCAAGUCACGAAAGUUGGUAACACCCGAGGCCGGUGGCCCUAACCACUUGUUGGAAGGGAGCUGUCGAAGGUGGGACUGGGCGAUGGGGACUAAGUCGUAAC